AGCGAACGCUGGCGGCAGGCCUAACACAUGCAAGUCGAACGAACUCUUCGGAGUUAGUGGCGGACGGGUGAGUAACACGUGGGAACGUGCCUUUUGGUUCGGAAUAACUCAGGGAAACUUGUGCUAAUACCGAAUGUGCCCUUCGGGGGAAAGAUUUAUCGCCAUUAGAGCGGCCCGCGUCUGAUUAGCUAGUUGGUGAGGUAACGGCUCACCAAAGCGACGAUCAGUAGCUGGUCUGAGAGGAUGACCAGCCACACUGGGACUGAGACACGGCCCAGACUCCUACGGGAGGCAGCAGUGGGGAAUCUUGCGCAAUGGGCGAAAGCCUGACGCAACCAUGCCGCGUGAAUGAUGAAGGUCUUAGGAUUGUAAAAUUCUUUCACCGGGGACGAUAAUGACGGUACCCGGAGAAGAAGCCCCGGCUAACUUCGUG
RNAcentral lists this ribosomal RNA (433 nucleotides) under uncultured bacterium. RNAcentral's name for it is "partial 16S ribosomal RNA". It matches the Rfam family "Bacterial small subunit ribosomal RNA", at positions 29 to 507 of the family's 1533-position model. The record is from RNAcentral.